RNAcentral lists this ribosomal RNA (472 nucleotides) under uncultured soil bacterium. RNAcentral's name for it is "bacterial SSU rRNA". It matches the Rfam family "Bacterial small subunit ribosomal RNA", at positions 26 to 502 of the family's 1533-position model. The record is from RNAcentral.
AGAUUGAACGCUGGCGGCAUGCUUUACACAUGCAAGUCGAGCGGCAGCACGACGUGUAGCAAUACACGUUGGUGGCGAGCGGCGAACGGGUGAGUAAUACAUCGGAACGUGUCCAGUAGUGGGGGAUAACCAGUCGAAAGAUUGGCUAAUACCGCAUACGAUCUACGGAUGAAAGCGGGGGACUCGCAAGGGCCUCGCGCCAUUGGAGCGGCCGAUGUCCGAUUAGCUAGUUGGCGGGGUAACGGCCCACCAAGGCGACGAUCGGUAGCUGGUCUGAGGGGAUGAUCAGCCACACUGGAACUGAGACACGGUCCAGACUCCGUACGGGAGCAGCAGGUGGGGAAUUUUGGAACAAGUGGGCGCGAAGCCUGGAUCCGAGCCAUGCCGCGUGAGUGAAGAGGCCUUCGGCUAGUAAGCGUCUUCGGCGGGACGAAACGGUCCGAGACAACACCACGGACUAAGUAGACGUACU